CUCGUACUAUUUAUAUUUUGUACAGUACCGGUGUAGUGUGGUAUACGUUGCUGUGCGGUGUAGUGUGGCGUUGGGACCCGGUCUGGUGUGCGGUGCGGUGUUGUGCGGGAGCCGUUGCUGGUUAGUGGUCGUUCCUGUGCGGGGCCGGUCUGGUGCGGUACAUUACAGACGGGACUUGUGGAGAUCUAUGUAGCAGUCCUUUGGCGCAGCGGAGUUGUAAUAAGUAUUAUUCACUCUAUGCAUUUAUUCUCUGGAAGUUCAAGGAGCCGGAAGAUAGAGAUCGCGAUGAAACGGAAGCAAUCCAGUAUGAUUUAUUUACGGCUCUCAUGGUAUUGAUUUGUCUCUGUCCGGAUUUGCUUGUUUAUCGCUAGCGUGUUUCGCACCAGUUUAUCCUCGGCUGCCCGAUCUCCGGCCACUCUUGCUCAGUGUAUAUGCUUGUGGACAUUUUAUAUUGUUUGCCCUCUAUUUCCACCUUCGUCAGUUUUCGGCUGAGCCUUUGAAAGUUGGAAGGAAGCUUGCCAGAAAAGAGUAGAUCGACUGUAAAAUUAACUGGUAUAAUUUGCGCAUGUUGUGUACUUCUGCUGAUGUUAAGGAAACGCACGAUGAGAUAGAAUUAACUUAUUUGAGUAUUGGAAACAGUUUUAUUAGUCUGUUUUUAAGCUGUAACAAUUUUAAUCGUUUGAACGUUAUCGUUGCAAGUCUGUCAUUGUAUUAAUGCGAAGCGUGCUGGCGGAAACAGGGACACGAGUGGGAUAUGACAUACUGUUGUUCUUACUUGUCAAAUAA
Molecule: long non-coding RNA, 786 nt
Organism: Paramacrobiotus metropolitanus
Lineage: Eukaryota; Metazoa; Tardigrada; Eutardigrada; Parachela; Macrobiotidae
Exons: 3
Source: RefSeq, a predicted model, not a curated record